Rosa chinensis is the source of this 791-nucleotide long non-coding RNA. RefSeq lists it as uncharacterized. The transcript is spliced from 3 exons. The record is from RefSeq and is a predicted model, not a curated record. NCBI's taxonomy places the organism in Eukaryota, Viridiplantae, Streptophyta, Magnoliopsida, Rosales, Rosaceae.
UUCUGCACCACCAAUUGGUUGCUCUCCCAACCCAAAUCUCUUCCAAAUGUCCAUGAUUCCCUGUUUUUACAACUUUAUAACAUAAGAUUUCUUGAGCCGCUUCCUCCCUUCCUACACCCCAACCUUGAAAAUAUUAGCUAUCCCAUAAACCAAAUCUCUAAAUCUGCAACCCUCCCACUGGCCAUCUUCCCACGCCUAAAAAUCUACUUUUUCAGCUAUAGAUUUCGAACAGAAUCCAACCACGGCUCAGUGGCAGCACAUAAUCAUUUCUACUCGAAACUUGAAGAAAUCAGCCGUAAUGACCAGGUAACAGAUAAGGAAAUCCUUGAUGCGGUCACAUCCAUAGGACCACAUAAAGCUCCUGGACCUGAUGGACUACAUGCAGCAUUCUAUCAAAACUGCUGGACUGAGAUUUCCAAAAAAAGAAGGGCCGAAUAGGAGCGUUAGCUGCAAAACUGGAUCUGGAAAAGGCCUAUGACCUUAUCAGCUGGGACUAUUUAUCCAGUUGCCUUAGGAGGUUUGGCUUCCAUAACAAUUGGAUCAACAUGAUCAUGAAUUGUAUUACCUCAGCCUCUUUUUCUUUGCUAAUUAAUGGGAAGCCAACAGGUUGGUUUAAGCCAACAAGAGGCAUCCGACAAGGAGAUCCACUCUCUCCUUAUUUGUUUAUUUUAGCAAUGGAACCCUUAAUCCGACAUUUGAAUCAUCUGGCUACAAGCCAUAAAUCUCAGGUUGGACUACUCUCUUCUCCUCUUGGUUUCAGAAUCUCAAAUUUAAUGUUUGCUGAUGACUGU